RNAcentral lists this unclassified non-coding RNA (249 nucleotides) under uncultured Sordariales. RNAcentral's name for it is "sequence contains 5.8S rRNA gene, ITS2, 28S rRNA gene". The stretch from base 1 to 52 matches the Rfam family "5.8S ribosomal RNA", at positions 103 to 154 of the family's 154-position model. The record is from RNAcentral. Lineage: Eukaryota; Fungi; Ascomycota; Sordariomycetes; Sordariales.
AACGCACAUUGCGCCCGCCAGUAUUCUGGCGGGCAUGCCUGUUCGAGCGUCAUUUCAACCAUCAAGCCCCCGGGCUUGUGUUGGGGACCUGCGGCUGCCCGCAGGCCCUGAAAAACAGUGGCGGGCUCGCUGUCACACCGAGCGUAGUAGCAUAACCUCGCUCAGGGCGUGCUGCGGGUUCCGGCCGUUAAAAGCCUUCUAACACCCAAGGUUGACCUCGGAUCAGGUAGGAAGACCCGCUGAACUUAA